This 497-nucleotide ribosomal RNA is filed under the name uncultured bacterium. RNAcentral's name for it is "partial 16S ribosomal RNA". It matches the Rfam family "Bacterial small subunit ribosomal RNA", at positions 28 to 507 of the family's 1533-position model. The record is from RNAcentral.
GAUGAACGCUGGCGGCGUGCCUAAUACAUGCCAGUCGAGCGAACGGACGAGAAGCUUGCUUUUCUGAUGUUAGCGGCGGACGGGUGAGUAACACGUGGAUAACCUACCUAUAAGACUGGGAUAACUUCGGGAAACCGGAGCUAAUACCGGAUAAUAUUUUGAACCGCAUGGUUCAAAAGUGAAAGACGGUCUUGCUGUCACUUAUAGAUGGAUCCGCGCUGCAUUAGCUAGUUGGUAAGGUAACGGCUUACCAAGGCAACGAUGCAUAGCCGACCUGAGAGGGUGACCGGCCACACUGGAACUGAGACACGGUCCAGACUCCUACGGGAGGCAGCAGUAGGGAAUCUUCCGCAAUGGGCGAAAGCCUGACGGAGCAACGCCGCGUGAGUGAUGAAGGUCUUCGGAUCGUAAAACUCUGUUAUUAGGGAAGAACAUAUGUGUAAGUAACUGUGCACAUCUUGACGGUACCUAAUCAGAAAGCCACGGCUAACUACGUG